GAUGAACGCUGGCGGCGUGCCUAAUACAUGCAAGUCGAGCGAACGGACGAGAAGCUUGCUUCUCUGAUGUUAGCGGCGGACGGGUGAGUAACACGUGGAUAACCUACCUAUAAGACUGGGAUAACUUCGGGAAACCGGAGCUAAUACCGGAUAAUAUUUUGAACCGCAUGGUUCAAAAGUGAAAGACGGUCUUGCUGUCACUUAUAGAUGGAUCCGCGCUGCAUUAGCUAGUUGGUAAGGUAACGGCUUACCAAGGCAACGAUGCAUAGCCGACCUGAGAGGGUGUACGCCCCCGGUGAGACUGGACCGCGAUACGGGCACCGAGGGGCGGCAGAGACGGGGACUCUACGGAGAUGGGGGGAAGACUGAAGAAGCGGCGCCGGGUGGGUGAAGAGGCGCUGCGUGUGGUAUAACUGUUUUAUGGGGGAAAACUAUUUUCGAAAGUGACGAAGCAUUUUUUGACGGUACCUAGAGAAAAAGCCCCGGCUAACUACGUG
This 497-nucleotide ribosomal RNA is filed under the name uncultured bacterium. RNAcentral's name for it is "partial 16S ribosomal RNA". It matches the Rfam family "Bacterial small subunit ribosomal RNA", at positions 28 to 507 of the family's 1533-position model. The record is from RNAcentral.